This 468-nucleotide ribosomal RNA is filed under the name uncultured bacterium. RNAcentral's name for it is "partial 16S ribosomal RNA". It matches the Rfam family "Bacterial small subunit ribosomal RNA", at positions 28 to 507 of the family's 1533-position model. The record is from RNAcentral.
GACGAACGCUGGCGGCGUGCUUAACACAUGCAAGUCGAACGGAAAGGCCCUGCUUUUGUGGGGUGCUCGAGUGGCGAACGGGGGAGUAACACGUGAGUAACCUGCCCUUGUCUUUGGGAUAACUUCAGGAAACUGGGGCUAAUACCGGAUAGGAGCUCCUGCUGCAUGGUGGGGGUUGGAAAGUUUCGGCGGUUGGGGAUGGACUCGCGGCUUAUCAGCUUGUUGGUGGGGUAGUGGCUUACCAAGGCUUUGACGGGUAGCCGGCCUGAGAGGGGGACCGGCGACAUUGGGACUGAGAGACGGACCAGACGCCUACGGGCGGCAGCAGUGGGAAGUAUGACGCAAUGGGGGGAAGCGUGUUGUAGAGACGCCGGGUGCGGGAAGACGGCCUUCGGGGGGUAAACAGCUGUCGACUGUGACGAAGCCUGAGUGACGGUAAUGGGUAAAGAAGCACCGGCUAACUACGUG